Long non-coding RNA from Lemur catta (Ring-tailed lemur), 1291 nucleotides. RefSeq lists it as uncharacterized. The record is from RefSeq and is a predicted model, not a curated record. The transcript is spliced from 2 exons. NCBI's taxonomy places the organism in Eukaryota, Metazoa, Chordata, Mammalia, Primates, Lemuridae.
UGGAAGGCCGUGUGUGAGCCUCUAGUUUCCAGGGAGUGCUGUUUCAGCCGCGCGACUUGGCGAAGAGAGGCGCGAGGUUUGCGCAGGGCCUCCCUACCACGAGAGAUCCCAUCCUUAAUCUCUCAUUUCCGUAUGGUGCCUUACGGUUCUCCAAGCCCUUCGCAGUUUACAAAGUGGACAGGAUUUCAAAGAAUUAAUACCAUUAUGUGAGGAAAUGGUCUGCCAACCUAGUUCAAAGGAAGGACACACAUGCUGCAAAGUUCAGGAGCACCCUAGAUCACCAACUGGAAGUUCCGGGAUCCCCAAGAUCACCCUCAGGUUCAAUGAUUUGUUAGAAGGACUCACAGAACUCAUUGACAGCUGUUAUAUUCACAAUUGGAGUUUAUUGCAGCAAAAGGAUACAAAUUAAAAUCAGCCAAGAGAAAAAGUAUGUAGAAUAGGAUCUGUGAGAGUUCCAAUCAUGGAGCUUCCAGUUGUCCUUUCCCAGUGGAGUGGUGCAGCCAGUGCUAACAUCCCAGCAAUGAUGUGUGAUAAUACAUACACAGUAUUGCUGACAAGGGAAGCUCACUUGAGCCUUUAUGUCCAAAGUUUUUAUUGGGACUCAGUCAUGUAGGCCUGGUUCACUGCCCAUAUGGCUGAUCUUAGUCUCCAGCCCCUCCAGAGGUCAAGCUGAUACCCCAUGGCCCAAAGUACCCUCACCAUGAACUACACUGCUAACAUAGACUAUCUGGCAUGGCCCAAGACCCCAAAGUAAACAAAGAUACUCUUAUCAGGCAGGAUAUUCCACGGGUUUAGAGAUUAACUCCCAGCAGCUUAGGGCAAAGACCAAACUUCUCUUUGAGUAAGGUUAAUCGUCUACUGCAUGUGUGUCCUAAGCUUUUUUGCUUUUUAAAUUUCUUUUCCCAUUGCUAAUCUUAAUAGACACUUAUGUCUGACUGAACAAUAAUUUGUAAGCCAUGGAAAAUAGCUAGAGUAGCAUUAUAAGAUUCAAUCCAUAGAAAACAUUUUUAUGUCUAAUUAUUAAAGUAAACAUGCCUGGAUUGGCCUUAGACAUACAUACUUGUUAAUUAUGAAAUAGAUAAUGUUGGGUUUUGGGGGGUUUUGCCUCCUAGCUGUAAUCUUUCCUAUCUCUGGUUCCUUACCACUCCUACCCUGUCUCCAUAACAUCUCCUUACACAUAUCUCCCCAAGCCAACAGAAUAUAAGAGUACCCACUGUGUUUAAGACAUUAUUCUAGGUUCUUGGUAUUCAGAAAUAACCAAGACAGACAAUAAAAACUUGUUUUCUUGAAA